This 1463-nucleotide ribosomal RNA is filed under the name uncultured Klebsiella sp. RNAcentral describes it as "bacterial SSU rRNA". It matches the Rfam family "Bacterial small subunit ribosomal RNA". Lineage: Bacteria; Pseudomonadati; Pseudomonadota; Gammaproteobacteria; Enterobacterales; Enterobacteriaceae. The record is from RNAcentral.
AUUGAACGCUGGCGGCAGGCCUAACACAUGCAAGUCGAGCGGUAGCACAGAGAGCUUGCUCUCGGGUGACGAGCGGCGGACGGGUGAGUAAUGUCUGGGAAACUGCCUGAUGGAGGGGGAUAACUACUGGAAACGGUAGCUAAUACCGCAUAACGUCGCAAGACCAAAGUGGGGGACCUUCGGGCCUCAUGCCAUCAGAUGUGCCCAGAUGGGAUUAGCUAGUAGGUGGGGUAACGGCUCACCUAGGCGACGAUCCCUAGCUGGUCUGAGAGGAUGACCAGCCACACUGGAACUGAGACACGGUCCAGACUCCUACGGGAGGCAGCAGUGGGGAAUAUUGCACAAUGGGCGCAAGCCUGAUGCAGCCAUGCCGCGUGUGUGAAGAAGGCCUUCGGGUUGUAAAGCACUUUCAGCGGGGAGGAAGGCGAUAAGGUUAAUAACCUCAUCGAUUGACGUUACCCGCAGAAGAAGCACCGGCUAACUCCGUGCCAGCAGCCGCGGUAAUACGGAGGGUGCAAGCGUUAAUCGGAAUUACUGGGCGUAAAGCGCACGCAGGCGGUCUGUCAAGUCGGAUGUGAAAUCCCCGGGCUCAACCUGGGAACUGCAUUCGAAACUGGCAGGCUAGAGUCUUGUAGAGGGGGGUAGAAUUCCAGGUGUAGCGGUGAAAUGCGUAGAGAUCUGGAGGAAUACCGGUGGCGAAGGCGGCCCCCUGGACAAAGACUGACGCUCAGGUGCGAAAGCGUGGGGAGCAAACAGGAUUAGAUACCCUGGUAGUCCACGCCGUAAACGAUGUCGAUUUGGAGGUUGUGCCCUUGAGGCGUGGCUUCCGGAGCUAACGCGUUGAAUCGACCGCCUGGGGAGUACGGCCGCAAGGUUAAAACUCAAAUGAAUUGACGGGGGCCCGCACAAGCGGUGGAGCAUGUGGUUUAAUUCGAUGCAACGCGAAGAACCUUACCUGGUCUUGACAUCCACAGAACUUAGCAGAGAUGCUUUGGUGCCUUCGGGAACUGUGAGACAGGUGCUGCAUGGCUGUCGUCAGCUCGUGUUGUGAAAUGUUGGGUUAAGUCCCGCAACGAGCGCAACCCUUAUCCUUUGUUGCCAGCGGUUAGGCCGGGAACUCAAAGGAGACUGCCAGUGAUAAACUGGAGGAAGGUGGGGAUGACGUCAAGUCAUCAUGGCCCUUACGACCAGGGCUACACACGUGCUACAAUGGCAUAUACAAAGAGAAGCGACCUCGCGAGAGCAAGCGGACCUCAUAAAGUAUGUCGUAGUCCGGAUUGGAGUCUGCAACUCGACUCCAUGAAGUCGGAAUCGCUAGUAAUCGUAGAUCAGAAUGCUACGGUGAAUACGUUCCCGGGCCUUGUACACACCGCCCGUCACACCAUGGGAGUGGGUUGCAAAAGAAGUAGGUAGCUUAACCUUCGGGAGGGCGCUUACCACUUUGUGAUUCAUGACUGGGGUGA